UUGAUCCUGCCGGACCCCACUGCUAUCGGGAUGGGAUUAAGACAUGUUAGUCGUGCGCUUUCAGGCCACGCUGGAGGCGCGGCAUACUGCUCAGUAGCACGUGGCUAACCUACCCUUGGGACGGGUGCACCCCCGGGAAACUGGGGCUAAUGUCCGAUAGGUGAAGACUCCUGGAAUGGAUUUUCGCCUAAAGGGCGCUUAGGGCAUGCUUCUAGGCGUUGCCCAAGGAUGGGGCCGCGGCCGAUCAGGUUGUUGGUGAGGUAAUGGCUCACCAAGCCUAUAACCGGUGCGGGCCGUGAGAGCGGGAGCCCGGAGAUGGGCACUGAGACAAGGGCCCAGGCCCUACGGGGCGCAGCAGUCGCGAAAACUUCGCAAUACACGAAAGUGUGACGGGGCUAUCCCGAGUGCUAUCCGCUGAGGAUGGCUUUUACCUAGUAUAGAUAGCUGGGGGAAUAAGGAGAGGGCAAGUCUGGUGUCAGCCGCCGCGGUAAUACCAGCUCUCCGAGUGGUGUGGAUGGUUAUUGGGCUUAAAGCAUCCGUAGCCUGCUGAGCAAGUCCCCUGUUAAACCCAACGAUCUAAUCGUUGGUCUGCGGGGGAUACUGUUCGGCUAGGGGGCGGGAGAGGCCGCCGGUAUUCUCGGGGUAGGGGUGAAAUCCUAUAAUCCCGGGAGGACCACCAGUGGCGAAGGCUGUCGGCUAGAACGCGCCCGACGGUGAGGGAUGAAAGCUGGGGGAGCGAACCGGAUUAGAUACCCGGGUAGUCCCAGCUGUAAACGAUGCUGGCUAGGUGUUGAAGCGGCUACGAGCCGCUUCAGUGCCGCAGGGAAGCCAUUAAGCCAGCCGCCUGGGGAGUACGGCCGCAAGGCUGAAACUUAAAGGAAUUGGCGGGGGAGCACCACAAGGGGUGAAGCUUGCGGUUUAAUUGGAGUCAACGCCGG
Molecule: ribosomal RNA, 938 nt
Filed under: uncultured archaeon
Lineage: Archaea
Description: bacterial SSU rRNA
Rfam family: Archaeal small subunit ribosomal RNA
Source: RNAcentral